This 534-nucleotide ribosomal RNA is filed under the name uncultured bacterium. Its description in RNAcentral is "bacterial SSU rRNA". It matches the Rfam family "Bacterial small subunit ribosomal RNA", at positions 777 to 1308 of the family's 1533-position model. The record is from RNAcentral.
AAUAGAUACCCAGGUAGUCCACGCCGUAAACGAUGAAUACUAGGUGUUGGGGAGCAAAAGCUCUUCGGUGCCGUCGCAAACGCGAUUAAGUAUUCCACCUGGGGAGUACGUUCGCAAGAAUGAAACUCAAAGGAAUUGACGGGGACCCGCACAAGCGGUGUAGCAUGUGGUUUAAUUCGAAGCAACGCGAAGAACCUUACCAGGUCUUGACAUCCCAUUGACCGCACCUUAACCGGUGCUUUCCUUCGGGACAAUGGUGACAGGUGGUGCAUGGUUGUCGUCAGCUCGUGUCGUGAGAUGUUGGGUUAAGUCCCGCAACGAGCGCAACCCCCUAUCUUUAGUAGCCAGCGGUUUGGCCGGGCACUCUAGAGAGACUGCCAGGGAUAACCUGGAGGAAGGCGGGGAUGACGUCAAAUCAUCAUGCCCCUUAUGAUCUGGGCUACACACGUGCUACAAUGGUGGCUACAAAGAGAAGCAAAGCUGUGAAGUGGAGCAAAUCUCAAAAAGGUCAUCUCAGUUCGGAUUGUAGUCUGA